RNAcentral lists this long non-coding RNA (916 nucleotides) under Physcomitrium patens. Its description in RNAcentral is "long non-coding RNA (PPAT_LNC009673)". The record is from RNAcentral. Lineage: Eukaryota; Viridiplantae; Streptophyta; Bryopsida; Funariales; Funariaceae.
UGAAAAAUAUAAUUUGUAGCAUCUUAGACUUUUUUAACGUGUAAUCAUCGCUCUUCAUAGAAUUUGUCUUUAGAAGAGAGAAAAAUGUCAGAGUGUCGUCAUAGAGAAAAUUUGCCUUAAAAAAAUAUUAUUGUAUUACAUAGCAUUUGGCUUGAAAAUAUACCAUGCACCUGGCUAUAGAAGAUAAAAAGAAAAUUGCAACAACAAGUCCUAACAACUCUAAUAGAUUCUUAAGUAAAUUACAAUUAAAGAUUAGGAAGUAUAAUCAAAUAUCAAUCAAAUUCAAUCAAAAUUGUAAAAGAACUAUAUAAAGAACACAAAGUAUUCCUAAAAACUCUUUAAAAAAAUAAAAGAAAUAACAUAGAAAUUCAAAAAUAUACUAAAAUAGAAAUCUUAAUAAAAUAUUAUAAUAAAAAUCUUAAUUAUACCCUAGUCAAAUCCUAACCAAAUCAUAAAUAAAUCCUAGUCAAACCCUAACAAAUCCUAAUCAAAUCCUAAUAAAAUCCUUCACAAAUCUUAACAAAAUCCUAAUCAAACUCUAAAAAAAUUUUAAUCAAAUCUUAAAAAAAUAUUAAACAAAUCCUAAACAAACCUUAAACAAAUUCUAGUCAAAUCCUAAACAAAUCUUAAUCAAAUUCUAGUCAAAUCUAAAAUAAAUCUUAAACAAAUCCUAAUCAAAUCCUAAAUAAAUCCUAGUUAAAUCCUAAUCAAAUCUUAGUCAAAUCCUAAAUAAAUUCUAAUCAAAUCCUAAUCAAAUUCUAACAAAUCCUAAUCAAAUCCUAAACAAACUUUAACCAAAUUCUAGCCAAACUCUAAACAAAUCCUAAUCAAAUCCUAAUCAAAUCUUAAACAAAAUCUAACAAAAUCCUAGUCAAAUCCUAACCAAAUCCUAACCAAAUCCUAAAAAAAUCUAAAU